This 253-nucleotide ribosomal RNA is filed under the name uncultured bacterium. Its description in RNAcentral is "partial 16S ribosomal RNA". It matches the Rfam family "Bacterial small subunit ribosomal RNA", at positions 524 to 776 of the family's 1533-position model. The record is from RNAcentral.
UACGUAGGGGGCAAGCGUUGUCCGGAAUUACUGGGCGUAAAGGGCUCGUAGGCGGCCAACUAAGUCAGACGUGAAAUCCCUCGGCUUAACCGGGGAACUGCAUCUGAUACUGGAUGGCUUGAGUUCGGGAGAGGGAUGCGGAAUUCCAGGUGUAGCGGUGAAAUGCGUAGAUAUCUGGAGGAACACCGGUGGCGAAGGCGGCAUCCUGGACCGACACUGACGCUGAGGAGCGAAAGCCAGGGGAGCAAACGGG